GCGGAAAUGGCGGAACGGCAGACGCGUUUGGUUGAGGGCCAAAUGGGAGCAAUCUCGUGGAGGUUCAAAUCCUCUUUUCCGCACCA
Molecule: transfer RNA, 86 nt
Filed under: Planctomycetota bacterium
Lineage: Bacteria; Pseudomonadati; Planctomycetota
Description: Planctomycetes bacterium (gut metagenome) tRNA-Leu
Rfam family: tRNA
About the family: Transfer RNA (tRNA) molecules are approximately 80 nucleotides in length.
Source: RNAcentral